GUAAUGACUAGGCCGGGAGGCUAGGCGUCUCCUGUAACCUAAAAUCGUCUAUAGGUAGGGGUCGAAGCCUGGAGAGCGGUAGAUAAGUCCAGUGUGGAGAGCUGCUCACGCCAGUGAGACUCUGUCUCUCUUGAUCGGCAUCGAAAGUGUUCCUUCUGUAGGGAAGGAGCUUCUUUCCUGACUCCCGAACCCCGUGAGGUCCGGAAGGGAACAGCGGUAGGGAGAAUGUUUGAUGCUUGAGAGGCCACAGGGUUGAGAACGGGGCAGUUUUGAAACUCUGGAGGAGUCUAUCCAUCUUCAGGCGUGUCAUUAA
This 313-nucleotide signal recognition particle RNA is filed under the name Methanomicrobia archaeon. RNAcentral's name for it is "signal recognition particle sRNA". It matches the Rfam family "Archaeal signal recognition particle RNA". Lineage: Archaea; Methanobacteriati; Methanobacteriota; Methanomicrobia. The record is from RNAcentral.